Bos taurus (domestic cattle) is the source of this 793-nucleotide long non-coding RNA. The record is from Ensembl. Lineage: Eukaryota; Metazoa; Chordata; Mammalia; Artiodactyla; Bovidae.
GAAUCAAGUUGGACCAGCAAAGUCACCAACACCCUGGCCCCUCCACCAAACCAGCCUCUGAGUCACUGUUUUUUCUUUCCUCACUGCAGGCCUUGGGGUUUCUAGGAGACUGAAGGGUGUUUCUAAGCCAAACAUUCCCAUGACAGGAGCACGAACCUGGAGAGAGAAUGAAGCCAGGAAAUCUGAGCAUUCUCUUCACCUCUGUCUUGCCAUAAUUCUCUGGCAUCUACUCAACGGCGUGUGUCCUUUGGAACCUUCCACUCCAGCUCCUAGGCAGCUCUGCAGGCAGCAUGGGAGCUCAGUGGGUGAGAUCAGGAUACAUCGUCUGAGGAGGUGGCCCAGAACCAUCUCCUGCUGCCCUCACCAUCAACUUCUCGCCCCAGGGAAGGGAGGAUCACUACAAGCCAAGAGUCAGGGGGCUGAGCCCAAGCCUCAUCUUCAGUAGUCGACUAGACUCCACCUUGUCGAGCCUCAGUUUCCUCUUCUAUUCUACCACUUUAUAGGGGUAUUGUGGUGGUGGGGGGAUACUUGGUGGUGGUCAGAGGAGGUCUGCUCUGUCUCCCUGCCUGAUCCUAGGUCUCCCCGAGCUAGGCCUCAGUUUCUCCUGAGGGGAGCUGACUUACGUCUUCCUCAAAGCUGAUUUUCACCCCUCUAGGUGUUCUUUUUUUUUUUUUUUUCAAUUUGGUCCAAAUGUUAGCAGGACUCAGGUGCCCCAGUCUUCUUGCUCAGAAGUGGAAGGCCUGCCCCAGAUGCCCCUGUCACAGCCCCAGCAACCGGGGAGAGGAAGUAAGGG